Molecule: ribosomal RNA, 496 nt
Filed under: uncultured bacterium
Lineage: Bacteria
Description: partial 16S ribosomal RNA
Rfam family: Bacterial small subunit ribosomal RNA
Source: RNAcentral
GAUGAACGCUGGCGGCGUGCCUAAUACAUGCAAGUCGAGUGAACGGACGAGAAGCUUGCUUCUCUGAUGUUAGCGGCGGACGGGUGAGUAACACGUGGAUAACCUACCUAUAAGACUGGGAUAACUUCGGGAAACCGGAGCUAAUACCGGAUAAUAUUUUGAACCGCAUGGUUCAAAAGUGAAAGACGGUCUUGCUGUCACUUAUAGAUGGAUCCGCGCUGCAUUAGCUAGUUGGUAAGGUAACGGCUUACCAAGGCAACGAUGCAUAGCCGACCUGAGAGGGUGAUCGGCCCCACUGGAACUGAGACCCGGUCCAAAAUCCUACGGGAGGCAGCAGUAGGGAAUCUUCCGCAAGGGGCGAAAGCCUGACGGAGCAACGCCGGGGGGGUGAUGAAGGUUUUGGGAUCGUAAAACUCUUUUAUUAGGGAAAAAAAUAUGUGUAAGUAACUGUGCACAUCUUGACGGUACCUAAUCAAAAAGCCCCGGCUAACUACGU